Molecule: ribosomal RNA, 460 nt
Filed under: uncultured bacterium
Lineage: Bacteria
Description: partial 16S ribosomal RNA
Rfam family: Bacterial small subunit ribosomal RNA
Source: RNAcentral
CCUACGGGUGGCAGCAGUGAGGAAUAUUGGUCAAUGGGCGAGAGCCUGAACCAGCCAAGUCGCGUGAAGGAUGAAGGAUCUAUGGUUUGUAAACUUCAUUUAUAGGGGAAUAAAGUGAGGAACGUGUUCCUUUUUGUAUGUACCAUAUGAAUAAGCAUCGGCUAACUCCGUGCCAGCAGCCGCGGUAAUACGGAGGAUGCGAGCGUUAUCCGGAUUUAUUGGGUUUAAAGGGUGCGUAGGUGGUUAGUUAAGUCAGCUGUGAAAGUUUGUGGCUCAACCAUGAAAUUGCCGUUGAAACUGGUUGGCUUGAGUGUAUUUGAGGUAGGCGGAAUGCGUGGUGUAGCGGUGAAAUGCAUAGAUAUUAGGCGGAACACCAGUGGCGAAGGCGGCCUACUGGACGGUGACUGACGCUGAGGCUCGAAAGCGUGGGGAGCAAACAGGAUUAGAUACCCUGGUAGUC